Lactuca sativa (garden lettuce) is the source of this 861-nucleotide long non-coding RNA. RefSeq lists it as uncharacterized. The record is from RefSeq and is a predicted model, not a curated record. NCBI's taxonomy places the organism in Eukaryota, Viridiplantae, Streptophyta, Magnoliopsida, Asterales, Asteraceae.
AUUGUGCCUAGUGGUCCAAACUUAACGAAAUUAGGGCUCAUAAGCGUUUCACCGACCGGAGGCAAAUGAAGCCACGGAACGGAUGAUCGAAGUUGGGAGAAACGCAAAUGAAAUCAAACAUUUGCCUCCGGUCGGUGACCGAUCGUGAAGAAGAUGGAGCGCGUAGGCAGGCGAGAAGGAGAACCCGAAGCAUUUGGGGUUGAUUGCUCGCGAGGGAGCGCUUACGGGAAUCGACGAACCGAAGAACGAAGGGAGAAGCAGCGGAUGCGCUCUUCUCGGUCUGCAGCUAGGUGCGAAGGAGACUAAUCGAUCGACGACGUGGGCGAUUAGCUCCGAGGGUUGACAAGGUUGAAGAGACGGAGAAGCAGCGAAGCUACUGCGGUCUCGGUGGGGAAGCGCAGACGAGACCUUUGGAGGUCUAGGGCCGAUGGGUAACCAAAGAGAAUUAGAGCGACGGAAAGGGCGAUUCGGUGGUGUUUGCGAAGGGGAGACGAAGGCAGCAGUUAACAACAGGGAAUGAAAGAAAGGAAUCACCGGGGCCUUACAAGAACAACACCUCCAAUGGAGGUGUUCUUGACUGGAAUGAAGAAGAAGAAUGAAGGAAAUGGGUGCUGUGUUUCUGGUGAUUCAUUGACAGCUCUACUUGAGGAAUGAAAACACGCUUCCUUUGAGUAUGAGUGUUCGUGUAAACAUUGUACAGGUCUGGGUUUGACUGAGUGUUGUAUCUUGUUGAGUGUGGUUUGAUUGAGUGUUGUAUUUGAUUACACGCCAGUUUCAAUUUAGAAAGGAAAAGGGAAAAGUUUUCCUGUAAUUGAUCAAAACAAAAUUUGGAAGUAAUUUAUUUAUUUAUUUAUUUAUUUA